Ailuropoda melanoleuca (giant panda) is the source of this 185-nucleotide long non-coding RNA. RefSeq lists it as uncharacterized. The transcript has 3 exons. The record is from RefSeq and is a predicted model, not a curated record. NCBI's taxonomy places the organism in Eukaryota, Metazoa, Chordata, Mammalia, Carnivora, Ursidae.
GUCCACCAGAAACCAACCCUGCCAGCACUUUGAUCUUGAACUUCCAGCCUCCAGAAUUAAGGAGGAGCUGCAAAGGGGGAUGUCUGUGUGUGUCUGUAGGACGCUGUACCAGUCUCAGCACAGGAUCCGAAGCAGACACCACGUUUCUUCAGGUCUCUGUGGUCUGUGAUGGUUUCCUUGUUUAC